GCACUUUCAGCGGGGAGGAAGGCGAUAAGGUUAAUAACCUUGUUGAUUGACGUUACCCGCAGAAGAAGCACCGGCUAACUCCGUGCCAGCAGCCGCGGUAAUACGGAGGGUGCAAGCGUUAAUCGGAAUUACUGGGCGUAAAGCGCACGCAGGCGGUCUGUCAAGUCGGAUGUGAAAUCCCCGGGCUCAACCUGGGAACUGCAUUCGAAACUGGCAGGCUAGAGUCUUGUAGAGGGGGGUAGAAUUCCAGGUGUAGCGGUGAAAUGCGUA
Molecule: ribosomal RNA, 270 nt
Filed under: Klebsiella pneumoniae
Lineage: Bacteria; Pseudomonadati; Pseudomonadota; Gammaproteobacteria; Enterobacterales; Enterobacteriaceae
Description: partial 16S ribosomal RNA
Rfam family: Bacterial small subunit ribosomal RNA
Source: RNAcentral